Molecule: long non-coding RNA, 862 nt
Organism: Haliotis rufescens (red abalone)
Lineage: Eukaryota; Metazoa; Mollusca; Gastropoda; Lepetellida; Haliotidae
Exons: 4
Source: RefSeq, a predicted model, not a curated record
AAACGGCAAAAUAUUUAUUUACAAUAUAUGUGUUUCCAGGGGAAGAGCCUGUUACAAAGUCUGUGUCUAAAAAAAAGUAAACUCGCUCCUUGUCGGACAAAACUGAAUGUAAUUAAGUUAACUACCUAUGUACAUUAUCAGUGGAGUACUUGAAUUAAUAUCAAAUUGUAACCCGAGAUGCUGGUGCCACACCUUAUUACGUGACCACCCAGUGAGGCGUGAACACUCAGGGGCAUGAUAUACACCCUUGUGUUUGAUUUGAUAUACCAAUCAGCCGUGGACGCCCGACCAUAAAAAUGGUAUAUAUAGAUUUAACCCUAAUCAGGUAUCGUUAAAUAUCGUUAAAUCGUCGAGAACGUUCUGUCAGACGAUCAAACGAUAACUAUUCAACAAGUCGGUAAAUCACAUCGAAAACCCAAGUUCUGGUCGCAGUGAGAAGCUCUGGAUGCCUUGAGGAGGGUUCACCAGCUCUGCUUCAACAACGUUGACAUGGGACCAGUAAAGCUGCAAGACUUUGUCGGCCAGUCAAAAGUGGACGCUGCAAUCCAAGGUGAAACUUUCUUUCUCAUGGUGGGGCACACGCAUGAAGAUUUGGAUCAACUGUUAAGUGUUUAGUGCAAGGGAACUUAGACAGAAGCCUGCAACAACCCGCGAUGCCCUCCUUCAAGAUUGGGGACAUCCGGACACCCACCACCAAGCUAUCAGACUUCAAGCCCUUCAUGCCUGCCCCAAGGGAAGCGACAACCCUCCCAACUAAAGUUCAAGAGGCAAUAGAGAAGAACAAUGAAAAACUGCAAAAACAAUCAAAGAUCACUCUGACAAAGCACCGAAGACAAGCGUCAGUAUCAGAACAAUAAAGAAG